GAAGUAAAGUCGUAACAAGGUUUCCGUAGGUGAACCUGCGGAAGGAUCAUUAUUGAAACUCCAUCCGGGGCGCCGCGGCCCUCAGCACCGGUGGAAACGCCGUGCUGCGGGGGCCGCGCGUGCACUCGUCCAAACCAAACCCCUGUGAACCUUACGGGAUGGCCCGGGUUAGCGCCCGGUGCCGUUCCGCUUUAUACAAACACUUAUCAAAGAAUGAACUGAAGGCGGUCUGACCGCUGGAUAACAAACUGAAACAACUUUCAACAACGGAUCUCUUGGCUCUC
RNAcentral lists this unclassified non-coding RNA (284 nucleotides) under plant metagenome. Its description in RNAcentral is "partial contains small subunit ribosomal RNA, internal transcribed spacer 1, and 5.8S ribosomal RNA". The stretch from base 1 to 52 matches the Rfam family "Eukaryotic small subunit ribosomal RNA", at positions 1779 to 1831 of the family's 1831-position model. The record is from RNAcentral.